CCUACGGGAGGCAGCAGUGAGGAAUAUUGGUCAAUGGACGAGAGUCUGAACCAGCCAAGUAGCGUGAAGGAUGACUGCCCUAUGGGUUGUAAACUUCUUUUAUAUGGGAAUAAAACGUUCCACGUGUGGGAUUUUGUAUGUACCAUAUGAAUAAGGAUCGGCUAACUCCGUGCCAGCAGCCGCGGUAAUACGGAGGAUCCGAGCGUUAUCCGGAUUUAUUGGGUUUAAAGGGAGCGUAGGUGGAUUUUUAAGUCAGUUGUGAAAGUUUGCGGCUCAACCGUAAAAUUGCAGUUGAAACUGGCAGUCUUGAGUACAGUAGAGGUGGGCGGAAUUCGUGGUGUAGCGGUGAAAUGCUUAGAGAUCACGAAGAACUCCGAUUGCGAAGGCAGUUCACUGGACUGCAACUGACACUGAGGCUCGAAAGUGUGGGUAUCAAACAGGAUUAGAUACCCCGGUAGUC
RNAcentral lists this ribosomal RNA (460 nucleotides) under uncultured bacterium. RNAcentral's name for it is "partial 16S ribosomal RNA". It matches the Rfam family "Bacterial small subunit ribosomal RNA", at positions 338 to 795 of the family's 1533-position model. The record is from RNAcentral.